AAGCUAUGAUGGAGGCGCGGCAUACAGCUCAGUAACACGUGGCUANNNGCCCUUGGGACAAGGACAACCCCGGGAAACUGAGGCUAAUCCUUGAUAGGUGAGAACUCCUGGAAUGGAUUCUUUCUCAAAAGAUGCUUUGAUCAUGCUUCUAGGCAUCGCCCAAGGAGGGGGCCGCGGCCGAUCAGGUUGUUGGUGAGGUAACGGCUCACCAAGCCUCUGACCGGUACGGGCCGUGAGAGCGGAAGCCCGGAGAUGGGCACUGAGACAAUGGCCCAGGCCCUACGGGGCGCAGCAGUCGCGAAAACUCCGCAAUACACGAAAGUGUGACGGGGCUAUCCCGAGUGCCAUCCGCUGAGGAUAGCUUUUCCCCAGUGUAUAAAGCUGGGAGAAUAAGGAGAGGGCAAGCCUGGUGUCAGCCGCCGCGGUAAUACCAGCUCUCCGAGUGGUGGGGAUGUUUAUUGGGCCUAAAGCAUUCGUAGCCUGCUAGCCAAGUCCUCCGUUAAAUCCACCGAUUCAAUCGUUGGGCUGCGGGGGAUACUGUCUAGCUAGGGGGCGGAAGAGGCCGACGGUAUCCCCGGGGUAGGGGUGAAAUCCUAUAAUCCCGGGUGGACCACCAGUGGCGAAGGCUGUCGGCUAGAACGCGCUCGACGGUGAGGGAUGAAAGCUGGGGGAGCGAACCGGAUUAGAUACCCGGGUAGUCCCAGCUGUAAACGAUGCAGGCUAGGUGUUGGCGCGGCUACGUGCCGCUCCAGUGCCGCAGGGAAGCCGUUAAGCCUGCCGCCUGGGAAGUACGGCCGCAAGGCUGAAACUUAA
Molecule: ribosomal RNA, 813 nt
Filed under: uncultured archaeon
Lineage: Archaea
Description: bacterial SSU rRNA
Rfam family: Archaeal small subunit ribosomal RNA
Source: RNAcentral